Molecule: long non-coding RNA, 217 nt
Organism: Poecilia latipinna (sailfin molly)
Lineage: Eukaryota; Metazoa; Chordata; Actinopteri; Cyprinodontiformes; Poeciliidae
Exons: 3
Source: RefSeq, a predicted model, not a curated record
AACCUGAGUGGCGAACCCCGUAUUCCUUUAUCUGUAUCAGUUUAUGUACGGUUUGAAGUUCGUCAUCGAGCAAAGAAAAUAUGGAAGCUAUCGUUUUUGCGGUCCUUGAAGGUAAUCUGGAUGUAAGCAAUCGCACUUCAUCAAAGUCCCAGUGUUGUCUCCACUGGAGAAUUGUGAUGACCUUAUUAAAAUCUGACCAACUGAUUAACAAUAAGCU